This is a non-coding RNA of Trichosporon asahii var. asahii CBS 2479, 88 nucleotides long. Lineage: Eukaryota; Fungi; Basidiomycota; Tremellomycetes; Trichosporonales; Trichosporonaceae. The record is from the annotation of a RefSeq genome assembly.
GGGAUGAUAGCUCAGUUGGGAGAGCGCGAGAGUGAAGUCUUCUACCGAUCAGUUCUUGAGGUCGGGCGUUCGAUCCGCCCUCGUCCCA